Salvia miltiorrhiza (redroot sage) is the source of this 1464-nucleotide RNA transcript. It is a transcript of the gene named zinc finger BED domain-containing protein RICESLEEPER 2-like, with no coding region annotated. The transcript is spliced from 4 exons. The record is from RefSeq and is a predicted model, not a curated record. NCBI's taxonomy places the organism in Eukaryota, Viridiplantae, Streptophyta, Magnoliopsida, Lamiales, Lamiaceae.
GUGCACACAUCCUGAACCUUAUGGUUCAGGAAGGACUUUCAAGGAUUGCUUACAUUAUUGAAGACAUACAUGAAAGUGUGCUCUUCAUCAAUUACAAUGAGGCAAGACUUCGAGCAUUCUCUGAAAUUGUGCAGCAGUUACAACUACCACAUCGGAAGCUUGUUCUCGAGUGCAAAACAAGAUGGAAUUCCACAUAUGAAAUGCUGUCAUCUGCCAUCUUGUUCAAAGAGGUGUUCCCAAGAUAUCAAGAUAGAGAGCCACGAUAUACUUGUUGUCCAAGCAAUGAAGACUGGGUGAUGGUUGAAAAGGUGUGUACCAUAUUAGAAGUAUUUGAUUCAGCCACUCGUAUCAUAUCUGGGAGUGAGUAUCCAACAUCAAAUCUGUUUCUUAAUGAAGUUUAUCGAAUCAAAGUGUUGUUGGAUAAGCUUCAUGGGGAUGAAACUGAAGCACCCUUUAUUCAUGACAUGGUUGGAGCUAUGAAGACUAAAUUUGACAAAUAUUGGGGAGAGUGCAACUUGUUGAUGGCUAUUGCUGCUAUUUUAGAUCCGAGGUGUAAGAUGACGGUCAUUGAGUAUUGUUUUCCCAAAAUGUAUUCCAAAGAAGAAGCUCGUGAAAAAAUCAAGAAAGUCAAGGAUGCAUUAUAUGAGUUGUAUGAUGAAUAUGUGGCGGACAUGUAUUCUGAUACUUCUACACAAAGUGAGCAAAUCAUUGACAAUACCGAUCGCAGAAGUGGAGUUAAAGUAGCUUCGGGCUGGUCCGAGUUCAUUCAACAUGUGAAAUCUGCUCAAACUAGUAAGCCACAACAGUCAGAGUUGAGCAACUACUUGGAAGAGGGAUGUCAUAUUUGUGAAGAUAUGUCAACUCCAUUUGAUGCUUUAGAAUGGUGGAGAACGAGUGCCUUGAAGUAUCGUAUAUUAUCUAAAAUGGCUCGUGAUAUACUAGCUAUUCCCAUCUCAACUGUGGCAUCAGAAGCUACUUUUAGCGCAGGGGGUCGAGUUAUUGAUGCAUAUCGAGCCUCAUUGAAUGCCGAUACAGUGCAAACAUUGAUUUGUGGAGGAGAUUGGUGUCGUAGUCUUCAUGGUGUGAAGAGAAAAAACAAAAGUGAGAAGAAACCUUUGGAGAUUAUGCUGCCCAUUCCUUGAAAGUUUGAUGUUGCUACUUUGAUUAUCAAUGUUGUGGCUGGAAUUUAUGCUGGAAAUGUCCCACUUGUGCAGGUGUCAGAAUAUGUAUGGCUGAAGUUUGAUCAUGGUUGGUGUUGCCGUGUUGGUACUGGAGAGACGACUUGGUGUUGCCGAUUCGGAAGCUGCAAAUUUAUAUUUUUAUGUUGUAUUUCAUUUAAGACUUGUUACUUUUCGAAUUUUUGAUGCCUUUAAACUAUUUGAAAGUGCAUUUUUAUGCUUUCGAUGUUUUUGGAUAUCUAAGAUUUGUUAUAAUUGAUUUGGAGAAAGACUUUUGGUGAUGAAA